AAUCAAGAGAACAAGGGCACACGGUGGAUGCCUAGGCGCCAAGAGCCGAUGAAGGACGUGGGCGGCUGCGAUAAGCCCGGAGGAGGUGCUGACCGACCUUUGAUCCCGGGAUCUCCGAAUGAGGAAACUCACGCGUGGUAAUGCGCGCGUACUCCUGCCUGAAUCCAUAGGGCAGGUAGAGGCAAGCUGGGGAACUGAAACAUCUAAGUACCCAGAGGAAAGGAAAGAAACCUCGACUCCCUGAGUAGUGGCGAGCGAAAAGGGAAGAGCCCAAACCCGGCCGACGUGAUAGACGGCAGUCGUUGUCGUCCGGGGGUUGUAGGGCCUGUCUCGAUCCGUCUGCCGGCGGGUCGGCGAGUUACAAAGUCGCGUCGUAGCGGAAGCGGAUGGAAAGCCGCACCACAGCGGGUAAGAGUCCCGUACGCGAAACGGCGGGGCCUCGCUGGACAGGUACCUGAGUACGGCCGGGCACGGGAAACCCGGUCGGAACCCGCGGGGACCACCCCGUAAGGCUAAGUACUCCUUGGCGACCGAUAGUGAACUAGUACCGUGAGGGAAAGGUGAAAAGUACCCCGCGAGGGGAGUGAAAUAGCACCUGAAACCGUGUGCCUACAAGCGGUCGGAGCGGCUCUGCUGUUUAUACAGCACUGUGCCGUGACGGCGUGCCUUUUGCAUAAUGAGCCAGCGAGUUGCUCUUCAACGGCAAGGUUAAGGAAACGGAGCCGUAGCGAAAGCGAGUCUGAACAGGGCGUUCAGUCGUUGGAGGCAGACCCGAAACUGAGUGAUCUACCCAUGGGCAGGUUGAAGCGGGGGUAAGACCCCGUGAAGGACCGAACACACGUCGGUUGAAAACGGCGGUGAUGACCUGUGGGUCGGAGUGAAAGGCUAAUCAAACUCAGAGAUAUCUGGUUCUCCCCGAAAUAUAUUUAGGUAUAGCGUCGCGUGUUCAUUCCCGGUUGUAGAGCACUGUUUGGUCUAGGGGGCCUACCAGCUUACUGAAAUCAGGCAAACUCCGAAGGCCGGGAAUCCAGAGCGCGGCAGUCAGACUGCGGGGGAUAAGCUCCGUGGUCGAAAGGGAAACAGCCCAGACCGUCGGCUAAGGCCCCUAAUUCCAUGCUAAGUGGCAAACGAUGUCUGAUUGCACAGACAACCAGGAUGUUGGCUUAGAAGCAGCCACCAUUCAAAGAGUGCGUAACAGCUCACUGGUCAAGUGAUCGGGCGCGGAUAAUGUAACGGGGCUCAAGCAUGGAGCCGAAGCCACGGACUUCAGCCUCGAGCUGGAGUGGUAGGGGAGCGUUCCCAUUGCGGUUAAGCGGCGGCGGAAGCCUGUCGUGGAGCGAUGGGAAGUGAGAAUGCUGGCAUGAGUAACGAAAGAGGAGUGAGAAACUCCUCCGCCGAAUGCCCAAGGGUUCCUGAGUAAAGCUAAUCUGCUCAGGGUUAGUCGGGACCUAAGCCGAGGCCGAAAGGCGUAGGCGAUGGACAACAGGUUGAUAUUCCUGUACCACGUACCGUUCGCUUGACCGAAGGCGGGACGGGGUAGGCUAGGGAAACCCAGGCGAUGGUCGACCUGGGGUAACCGCGUAGGCCGGGUGAUAGGAAAAUCCGUCACCCAUCAAGGCUGAGACGGGAUGCCGAGCCCGAAUGGGCGAAGUUCCUGACGCCAUGCCUCCAAGAAAAGCGUCUAGGGAGAACGGGCGUGCCCGUACCAAAACCGACACAGGUGGGCAGGUAGAGAAUACCAAGGCGAUCGGAAGAACCCUCGUUAAGGAACUCGGCAAAAUGGUCCCGUAACUUCGGGAGAAGGGACGCCUCGGUAGGGUGAAGAUCCCUUGCGGAUCGGAGCUCGAGGAGGCCGCAGAGAAACGGCCCAAGCGACUGUUUACCAAAAACACAGGCCUCUGCUAAGUCGCAAGACGACGUAUAGGGGCUGACGCCUGCCCGGUGCCGGAAGGUCACGAGGAGAGGUUAGCCUUCGGGCGAAGCUUUGAAUCCAAGCCCCGGUAAACGGCGGCGGUAACUAUAACCGUCCUAAGGUAAAUCGCUGCCCCCCGGUCUGGUAACAGAUCGGUGCGCAUCUGGCCAUAUGCUGGAAACUCCGAGUAUCCCGCACUACUCUCGUGCCGUCCGACGGGCGGUUUACGAUAGUGACAACGUGACGGGUGCGGACAAUCAGCAGGAAAGGCUGGCCGAGCUUCGAGGUUGGGUGAUCGGGUUCGUCGACGGAGAAGGAUGCUUCUCGAUCUCGUUCUUGCGACAGCGUCGUGGGAGUGAGAGCGGCGACGGAACCGGAUUCCAGGUGUUCCACGAGUUCGUGGUGACUCAGGGCGAGCGCAGCAUCGACGCCCUCCACGACCUACGGGGAUACUUCGGUGUCGGGCAAGUGGUUGUGAAUCGUCGAUACGACGACCAUCGCGAGCACCUGUACCGAUACGUGGUGCGGCGGCGCGAGGAUCUGCUCGAGACGAUCAUUCCGUUCUUCGAGCAGCAUCCGCUGCGAACGGCGAAGCGACACGACUUCGCCAAGUUCGCGGAAUGCGUCGAACUCGUCGCCGGCGGUCACCACCGGACCCGCUUGGGUCUGCUGGAGAUCGUGCGGAUCGUCGAGACGAUGAACCGUCGCAAACCCAGACCGGAGCUCGUCAGAAUCCUCAGAGACCAUACGCCAGACGUCCGCGACAGCGGAUGAUGAGAUGGUCCCCUCUGCAUGGCGACAUGCAGGUGAUAUCGAUCCAAGGAAGUCGAUAUCCGCUCGGAAUAGCCACCGAGUAAGACUGAAGCGAAAUUCCUUGUCGGGUAAUCGGAAUGAAUUGCCCGGUUCGGAAGUAAUUCCGGACGGAUGACCGGCUAAUAACGGGGAAGCCCUCCUCGUAUGCGGCGCUUCAAGGACGCCGUGACAGCGAAAGGGUAAUCCCGUGGGAAGUCGGCUCGAGCGAUCGGGCUUGACCCCGUAACGACUGAUCGUCCGCGUUGUCUACGCGGACGUGAGAUCGCGUCUCCGUCGUCCGAGCGAUCGGCGACAAUCUACGAGUGCGAUCAUACGCCGGCCCCUACAGCAGUCGCGAGUUCCUCUCGGCGUACGUCUCCGGCUACGUCGACGGAGAAGGAUGCUUCACCGUCUCCAUCUCACCGCGAGCGAAGCUCAGGGUGGGGUGGGAGGUGCGGCCAAGCUUCUCCGUCAGCCAGAACGGAGACCGCGCCGAGGUGCUGUACGCGAUCCAGGAGCUGUUCGAGUGCGGAAGCAUUCGGCCUGAUCGGAGCGACAGGACGCUGAAGUGGGAGACCCGCCGGCUCGAGGACAUCCUCGAGCGGGUGAUUCCGCACUUCGAGUCAUGGCCACUCAGUCAGGGAAGCAGCGUGACUUCGUGCGUUUCGCGGUCGUUUGCCGUCUCAUGGCGGUAGGCGCGCACCGAAACCGCGAGGGACUGGCUCGGAUCGUCGAGCUCGCCCGGGAGAUGAGCCCGAGCGGGACGAGGCGGUACGACGCGUCGGCGAUACUCCGACAGCUGCAGGGUGGAGAGAUAGUCUGCGCCUCCGGAGACGGAGGAGGAACGCGAAGUUCCGACCUGCACGAAUGGCGUAACGACUUGGGCGCUGUCUCAACGAGGGAUCCGGUGAAAUUGUAGUCUCGGUGAAGAUGCCGAGUACCCGUGGCUGGACGGAAAGACCCCGUGAACCUUUACUGCAGCUUUGCGUUGAAGUCUGGUGUUCGCUGUCCAGGAUAGGUGGGAGGCUUUGAAGCGGGGGCGUCAGCUCUCGUGGAGCCAACCUUGGGAUACCACCCUUCGGAUUCUGGGCUUCUAACCCGAUGCCGUGAUCCGGGUCGGGAACAGCGUGAGGUGGGCAGUUUGACUGGGGCGGUCGCCUCCUAAAAUGUAACGGAGGCGCGCAAUGGUUCCCUCAGCACGGUUGGAAAUCGUGCGUAGAGCGCAAAGGCAUAAGGGAGCCUGACUGCGAGACUGACAAGUCGAGCAGGGACGAAAGUCGGCCUUAGUGAUCCGGCGGUUAAGAGUGGAAUUGCCGUCGCUCAACGGAUAAAAGGUACUCCGGGGAUAACAGGCUUAUCCUCCCCAAGAGUCCACAUCGACGGGAGGGUUUGGCACCUCAAACAUCUGGGGUGAUCCGGUGGAAACACCGGUUACGUAUCGGCUAAUAACGGUGGAGCCCGCGCCUGGGUGCCGUCAUGGCGGCACCGUAAGAUGGGUAAUACCGUGGGAAGUCUGUCGGAAGUGCAACAUUCGAUCGUUGUCGGGACACUUCUCGGCGACGGGACGAUGCGUUGCAAGACCAACGCGCUUCUCGAGAUCAACCAUUCACACCACCAAGAGAGCUACGUCUGGUGGAAGUAUGAGCAUCUCUCCGACCUCGUGGCGACCCCGCCACAGCGUCGGAAGGGGAAUGGUGGACGAAUCGCCUGUCGAUUCGUCACACGCAGUCUUCCGGUCCUGACAUCGUACUUCCGUCUGUUCUACGCAGACCGAGGAAAGGUCGUGCCGGGGGAGCUCGAACUUUCGCCUCUGUCGCUCGCGGUGUGGUUCAUGGAUGACGGUUGUCGAUCUCGGAACGCGGUGUACCUCAACACGCAACAGUUCGGUAUCGGUGAGCAGCGACGCCUGCUCGCGAUGCUGAAGCGGCAGUGGGGCAUCGAUGGAGCGCUCAAUCGAGACAGGUCGUACCGACGCAUCCGCCUCAGCGUGGAUGGGACGAGACGUCUGACUAGGCUGAUCGGGCCAUUGGUGCUUCCGGAGUUGAGUUACAAGCUUCCGCGAAUGACCCCGUAACGACUGAGACCUGCGGGUCGAGGUGGUUCGCUAGUCCCUAUGGGACACUCUGUGGCGACCACAAGACGCCGACCCCUCGCCUUUGGUCAGGCAGGGUGAAGUUAUAGUCUGCGCCGUCGGUAACGACGGAUUACGUGCGAUGUCGGCUCGUCGCAUCCUGGGGCUGAAGCAGGUCCCAAGGGUUGGGCUGUUCGCCCAUUAAAGCGGCACGCGAGCUGGGUUCAGAACGUCGUGAGACAGUUCGGUCCCUAUCCGCCAUGGGCGUUGGGAACUUGAGAGGAGUCGUCUCUAGUACGAGAGGACCGAGAUGAACAGACCUCUGGUGUAUCAGUUGUCCUGCCAAGGGCACUGCUGAUUAGCCACGUCUGGAUGGGAUAACCGCUGAAAGCAUCUAAGCGGGAAGCCCACCUCGAGAUGAGGUUCCCCAUCACUUCGAGUGAGUAAGGGCCGUGGAAGACCACCACGUCGAUAGGCGGGCGGUGCAAGCGCAGCAAUGCGUUCAGCUGACCCGUACUAAUUGCCCGAGGUCUUGAUUUU
RNAcentral lists this ribosomal RNA (5315 nucleotides) under Gaiella sp. Its description in RNAcentral is "23S ribosomal RNA". It matches the Rfam family "Bacterial large subunit ribosomal RNA". The record is from RNAcentral. Lineage: Bacteria; Bacillati; Actinomycetota; Thermoleophilia; Gaiellales; Gaiellaceae.